RNAcentral lists this transfer RNA (144 nucleotides) under Luteolibacter pohnpeiensis. RNAcentral's name for it is "tRNA-OTHER". It matches the Rfam family "tRNA". Rfam says of the family: Transfer RNA (tRNA) molecules are approximately 80 nucleotides in length. Their secondary structure includes four short double-helical elements and three loops (D, anti-codon, and T loops). Lineage: Bacteria; Pseudomonadati; Verrucomicrobiota; Verrucomicrobiia; Verrucomicrobiales; Verrucomicrobiaceae. The record is from RNAcentral.
GUAGCUCAGUGGUAGAGCAAAGAAAUGUUUUCGGACUUCUUGUCGCGGUUCUAGCGAGACCUCAUCUUCAUCCUGGCGAAUGCCGGUGGAACUACAUCAUUUCUCAUGACCAGGUUACGGGUUCGAAUCCCGUCCGGGCCACCA